UACGUAGGGUGCAGGCGUUAAUCGGAAUUACUGGGCGUAAAGCGUGCGCAGGCGGUCUCUUAAGACAGGUGUGAAAUCCCCGGGCUUAACCUGGGAACUGCGCUUGUAACUGAGAGGCUUGAGUGCGGCAGAGGGGGGUGGAAUUCCAGGUGUAGCAGUGAAAUGCGUAGAUAUCUGGAGGAACACCGAUGGCGAAGGCAGCCCCCUGGGUCGACACUGACGCUCAUGCACGAAAGCGUGGGGAGCAAACAGG
This 253-nucleotide ribosomal RNA is filed under the name uncultured bacterium. RNAcentral describes it as "partial 16S ribosomal RNA". It matches the Rfam family "Bacterial small subunit ribosomal RNA", at positions 524 to 776 of the family's 1533-position model. The record is from RNAcentral.